This 375-nucleotide ribosomal RNA is filed under the name uncultured bacterium. RNAcentral describes it as "bacterial SSU rRNA". It matches the Rfam family "Bacterial small subunit ribosomal RNA", at positions 523 to 898 of the family's 1533-position model. The record is from RNAcentral.
AUACGUAGGGUGCGAGCGUUAAUCGGAAUUACUGGGCGUAAAGCGUGCGCAGGCGGUUCGCUAAGACCGAUGUGAAAUCCCCGGGCUUAACCUGGGAACUGCAUUGGUGACUGGCGGGCUAGAGUGUGGCAGAGGGGGGUAGAAUUCCACGUGUAGCAGUGAAAUGCGUAGAGAUGUGGAGGAAUACCGAUGGCGAAGGCAGCCCCCUGGGCCAACACUGACGCUCAUGCACGAAAGCGUGGGGAGCAAACAGGAUUAGAUACCCUGGUAGUCCACGCCCUAAACGAUGUCAACUAGUUGUUGGGGAUUCAUUUCCUUAGUAACGUAGCUAACGCGUGAAGUUGACCGCCUGGGGAGUACGGUCGCAAGAUUAAA